This is a long non-coding RNA of Rhea pennata, 441 nucleotides long. RefSeq lists it as uncharacterized. The record is from RefSeq and is a predicted model, not a curated record. NCBI's taxonomy places the organism in Eukaryota, Metazoa, Chordata, Aves, Rheiformes, Rheidae. The transcript is spliced from 3 exons.
UGCCUGGGAGUCUUGCUGUGAGACUGGCCAGGACGGAGUGGGAGUGUGGGACUGCAGUCCAGACGGAGUGCGAGGACGGAGCGAAGGAAGUGCUGAACUGUGCCAGUGUCUGUGAUAAAACGUGGAACUUGAUGGAGUACCUUCUCCUGAUCCAGAAUGGCCUGGAACCGCAGAUUAGAUGGACAGCUGAACACUCUGUGACUGGGUUACAAAAGGAGAGGUUAGCAUGUCAGAAAGGACUUUUCUUACAGCAAAAAAUCAGAAGCUCUGACCUAAAACUUCUGUGAGAACCAUGUGGAUAAUGAAGACACUAGCUGAAGCAGUUACUGAAGUAUUAGUGACUAUCAUGGAAGACAGCACAUGUCAGAGAUCCUCAUUCCUGCAUCAAAGCUGUUGACCUCUUAUUCUCCUCUGCCUCCUCAUCCCACUACUAUUCUUAGA